This is a long non-coding RNA of Suricata suricatta (meerkat), 795 nucleotides long. RefSeq lists it as uncharacterized. Lineage: Eukaryota; Metazoa; Chordata; Mammalia; Carnivora; Herpestidae. The record is from RefSeq and is a predicted model, not a curated record. The transcript is spliced from 4 exons.
CAGAGCUUGAGGCCUUUUAGGAAACUGCUUUCCUGUCGCAGAAUGCUGGACCAGCCCGAGAGUUUCAGGAAAUGUCAGUUCCCAUGGUCUGGCGGGGAAGUGAGAGUCAAAUGCCGAGAGUGGAACUUAAUUCCCCAUUUUUCGGACAGUAAUCAAGAAAGAAGGUCUGUUUCUCCAAUGAGCACCUUGCGCCCUUCAAUUGGCAUUAAUAGAAUUUAGGCUGGGCAUCUGGUCAUCCAAAAUAAACACUACACGCACAGCCUGAUUUUCAGCAACAAUGUGAAAAAGAACGCAUUCCAUGUAUGGAUUUUCACACUGGCGUAACAUCUGAUCACCUUCCUGAUUUGGGCCGAAUGUUAUUUUAAAAUGGGAGCCUGUAGGUAGACACUUGAGAGGCAUUCCUAAAUUUACAUAUCCUUUUAUUUUUUCUUCUUCAUACGCAAGAAUUGGCUUAUCCAAAUGAUUCCCCAUCUUUUCACUGAAAAUGUCAUUGGCUCUCAGAGCCGAGUUGAUACUCUCAUUGGGUUUACCAUGUGCUUUAAAUACACUAUGGUCAGAUUUCCUGGACUUUUUACUCAAAGUAAAAGUAAAAUAACACAUUUCAUUGGUGCUCAAGUCUGGGUUCUGGAUUUCCACAGAUGCUUCAUGCUUGACUUCACUUCCAAGCUUACUGGUACUGCCACACUCCUUUAUGUCAGAUAGAGGAUGAACAGCAAUUCUUCCAGGACAGGUCUGCUUGAUGGCAGUAUCCUUAGAAAAGGGAAAGAUUAAAAACUUAAUGAGAAUCACCUUUAA